Anser cygnoides (Swan goose) is the source of this 1821-nucleotide long non-coding RNA. NCBI's taxonomy places the organism in Eukaryota, Metazoa, Chordata, Aves, Anseriformes, Anatidae. The record is from Ensembl.
GUAGGGGCAUGGGGGGGGGGGCAGAACCCCUCGGGGACAUCCGAGGCCAUGGGGGGGCUGUGAGAGCCAGAGGGGCCGCAGGAGCCCUUGGGUGCCACGUGAGGCCCUGGGGUGACACGUGAGCCCGCGAGGGACACGUACUCCUGUAGGGACACGUACGCAUAUAGGGACUGCGGGAGCCCGUAGGGACCGUGGGAGCCUAUAGGGACUGUGGGGGCCUAUAGGGACCACGGGAGCCUGUAGGGACUGUGGGAGCCCAUAGGGACCAUGCGCGUUCCUCUGGGCAGCGAGCGAACCCGUAAGUGACACGUGAGCCCUAUGGGGCCACGGGAACCCGCAGGGCGAGGCGAGGCCGUGGGAGACGUGAGCCCGCAGGGAGCGCGGACGGCCACCGCGGCCACGUGAGCCCGCGCGGUGACACGCGCGGACCCACGAGGGACACGUGAGCCCGGUGGGGACACGUGAGGCCCUUGGGGACACCGGAGCCUACGUGGGACCUGCGAGCUCGCGCGGGGCAGCUGAGCCCACAGGGGCUGUGGGAUCCCACAGGGGCCGUUGGAUGCCAAAGGGACCCCGUGAGCCCAUAGGGGCCCUGUAAGCCCAUCAGGGCCAUGGGACCCCACUGGGGCCCUGUGAACCCAGAGGCACCCCGUGUGCCUGCUGGGGACGCGUGGCUCCCCGUGGGACGCAGGAGCCCCAGGGAGCGCACUCGGGCACCCAGGUGGCACGAGGGGGCCUGUAGGUGGCAGGCGGUCCUGUGGGUGAGCCCGUGGGGACCCCGUGAACCCAGGGGGGCCGUGGGCGCCCACGCGCUGCCUCCCGCCCGCAGCCCACAUCGAGGUGAUCCCCUGCAAGAUCUGCGGGGACAAAUCCUCGGGGAUCCACUACGGCGUCAUCACCUGCGAGGGCUGCAAGGGCUUUUUCCGGCGCAGCCAGCAGGGCAGCCUGAGCUACGCCUGCAGCCGCCAGCAGAACUGCCCCAUCGACCGCGCCAGCCGCAACCGCUGCCAGCACUGCCGCCUGCAGAAGUGCCUGCGCCUCGGCAUGUCCCGCGACGCCGUCAAGUUCGGCCGCAUGUCCAAGAAGCAGCGGGACCGGCUGCACGCCGAGGUGCAGCAGCAGCUGGAGCAGCGGCAGCGGGAGCGGGCGGCCCAGGGGGGCGCUGCCUUCGCCCUGGGGCUGCCGGGGUGCUGCGGCCACCCCCUGCCCCCCGCCGGCACCCCGGGGUGCCCCGGGCCCUGCGAGGGAAGGGCCGGCUGCAGCCCCAGCACGGAGGCGGAGGGCGAGCGGCGGGAAGGCGCCACGCGGGACCGGGACCGGGACGGGGACGGGGACGGGGUCGGGGACGGGGACAGGGACGGCCCCGACCUGUGCCCGCGCCCCGACGUCGGCAGCGGCCUGGAGUCGCCCACGUGCUCCGGGAUGGAGAUCGGUGAGUCGCCGGGCUGGGGCUGGCACCCGUGGGUGCCACAAAGUGGUGGCACAUGUCCCUGUCGCCCGUGGGUGCUCGGUGGUGGUGGGACCUGGCACCAUCACCCAUGGGUGCCACGAACUGCUGGGAGCCGGCACCCACGGGUGCUCGGUGGCGGGGCAGCCGGCCCCGCGGGUCCCCGUGGGGGGGCUGCCCCCAGCCGUGCCCCCCCCCCACCGUCCCGGUGCCCGCAGAGCUGCUGGCCCAGGACGUGCUGCGGUCGCACCGCGAGACCUCGCAGCCGCGCGCCGAGGAGCUGCAGCAGCGCCGCUGGGACACCUUCAGCCGCGAGGAGGUCUGCGCCUACCAGAGGAAGGUGAGACCCCCCCUCCACCCCGGGGGGCGCUGGG